Molecule: small nuclear RNA, 22 nt
Filed under: Arabidopsis thaliana (thale cress)
Lineage: Eukaryota; Viridiplantae; Streptophyta; Magnoliopsida; Brassicales; Brassicaceae
Description: snRNA_03140
Source: RNAcentral
UCUCCGCGGUAUACCGUGGGUU